RNAcentral lists this long non-coding RNA (441 nucleotides) under Homo sapiens (human). RNAcentral describes it as "HSALNT0178102". The record is from RNAcentral. Lineage: Eukaryota; Metazoa; Chordata; Mammalia; Primates; Hominidae.
CCAGCCCCAGGGCAACUGAGCAUUGAUUUGAUCAAUGGCUUUUUCCUCUUCCCUUGAAUUCCCCUAUGAUGGCCUUUUAAUUGGGUCCAUUUGUUCCAAGGCCGUGGGCUGAGCUGAGCAGACGCCAAAUGAUAUGCCUAUUAUUAAAUAGAUUAGGAAAUGGCCCUACAUCUUGGGCGGCCAGAAAAACCAGAGUGACUGAACAGUGUCCCUGAGGAGUAACACGUGUAUUGUGGAAUACUGGAUGUAUUGCAGAAUCCCUUCCAGGCACCUUGCCUUUCCUAUGCUGUCCCUGCGUCUACAGAAUCCUUCUGACUUCCUUGCUCACCUGAAAUGUGUCUCCUCCUCCAAGAUUCACUUCAAAUCCCCUCCUCGGUGAAGGAGCUGAAGGAGCGCGCUAAUCGCCACCCCUCCCUCAGCCUGCCUGAGCUACUGCCACAG